GCUUACGGCCACACCGCCUGGUUCACGCCUGAUCUCGGAAGCUAAGAUAGGUUUGGCCUGGUUAGUACUUGGAUGGGAGACCGCCUGGGAAUACCAGGUACUGCAAGCU
Molecule: ribosomal RNA, 109 nt
Organism: Scophthalmus maximus (turbot)
Lineage: Eukaryota; Metazoa; Chordata; Actinopteri; Pleuronectiformes; Scophthalmidae
Source: Ensembl